RNAcentral lists this unclassified non-coding RNA (187 nucleotides) under uncultured Spadicoides. Its description in RNAcentral is "sequence contains ITS2". Lineage: Eukaryota; Fungi; Ascomycota; Sordariomycetes; Sordariales; Helminthosphaeriaceae. The record is from RNAcentral.
CGACCCUCGAGCUCCCCUCUUCUUGCGGGGGGCUCGGUGCUGGGACGCUACAGUGUUUGCGCUGUAGGUCCCGAAAUGCAGUGGCGGCCUCACCGAGACCCCGAGCGCAGUAAACCGUGCUUUAGCACAGCGCCUCGUUCAGGGUGUCCGGCGGGUGCCUCAGCCGUUAAACCCCCAAUUUACCAAA